CAAAAUGGAGCUUGUGAAUCUCACCUUGAUCCUUCAAUCCUGUAGUAUACAAUGACACUACUGAAAAAAAUAAUAGAGAAUUAACAUGAACUAAAAUAAAUAAUUGAAUUAUUCACUUGCACUGAUUUUUAUUACAGCUCUUGACAAGUUAGUUCAAACUUUUAUCCUGCAAAGUUUCAUACAUGUAUGUUUUUGUAAUGAAUCAAUCAUGUGAGCUUCCUAAGGAGUUAAGCUUAAUGGCAAAAAUAUUUUUAAAAUGCAAAAAGCAGCAGCUACUUUCCUACCUGAGAUUGGAUUUAAUCGCACUUUAAAAAUCAGAAGAUUGAUUCAAUCUCUUGUUAAAAUUGAAAUAGAUCUUUAAAUAAUUAAUAUAAAAAUGACCCCAAAAUUCCUUUGUUACCAGAAAAUAAGUUUUCUUUUAAUCAUAUUCUGCUAUUUCUGAUCCAGGUGGAGCCAGAAGAAAAAAAUCUGAAAACAUGAUAGAGCUUACUUUCGCCUUAUGAUUGAAAACUGAAGAUUCAUUAAAUUCAGAUACUGAUAAAAAACUUUGGAUAAGCAUAAGAUUUUCAUGGCUUAGAAGACUUAACCUUAGAUUUUUUUUUUUUAACAAUUUAGCUAAUUGGCAGGCCAUUAGCAUUUUUAAAAUGUUUCUCAAAUCUUUGAAUGUGCCAUAUUUGAACUGGACAUGUAUGUCUGGGGCUUAAGCAAAUGAGAAACCUUGUGAAUAAAACAAGAAGAACAAAAAAAAAGCAAUUAGAAAUAGGAGAUUCGGUAUAUUUUUUAAUGUACUUAUCUUACAGAUGACACAACUGAUUUUGGAACAAAUGGAACCAAGACAGAAAGGUCUGAUUCUGAACCUGUCCUCUGGUCUGGGUACUUUCCCUUGUCUGCUAUACACAAAGUAUUUAGCAUCUAAGUCAAGGAAUUCUGCAGGAAGAAGAACAGGAAGCUUUCAGGAUGGAUAAUAAGUGCUGGAACUUUGGAGAUCUGCAGCCAUAAAAUAUCUACUUCUAUCCAGAGAUUAUCAAUGACCUCUGCACUGUCUGAGAAGGGCUGGAAGAGGCAGGAUCAUAGGCAAAUAUAGACUUAAUAUAAAACAAUUCUUUGAAUCAAACUGCUACUGAGUGAAAGCAGAAAAUAUCUAGAAGUGAAAGUGAGAUGUCUGUGUAGGGCAUUCAGCAUUGUUGAUUUGAAUAGCAAGGAAUAGAAGCGGUUUGUUCAUUGCUGCAUAAAAAAUGUGUUUACCGGUGAUUAAAUUAUGUUCUGAUAAGCGUGAUAUUUGUGCAGCUGUUCAACAAAUAAAUAUGGACUAUAAUAUAUGAUAAAUAAUACAUAUGAGCCAAAAAAUGAAUUUCCUGAGGAAAAUGCUCAUUCAAUAAGAGGCUUGAAUAGAGUGCAGAGGUUGUGUCCGCCACUGGUAGAAGUGCCCAUGCAUCAUGGAUUUCAAGCACUGUAUUCUCUGAUAUGUCUCUCCUUUUCUUGCCUCUCUGUUCCAAAUACAUACUGAUGUUGUGCCUAUGUGCAGAUCUUCACAUGUCUGAUUUACAUGCAUGAAUAGUCCCAGCAAGAUGAAGGCGCUUCUGUGAAAAAGUGGCUGCAGCUGCUCUGCUUAAGUCAGUGGGUGUCGCUUUACAGAUUGAAUGGGAACAGUAACAUGCCUGAGUUACCUAACUCAGGUUAAAGAGUACUCUUUCAGCCUCCUCACAGAGAAAGAAUAUCUAUAUGAUUGCCACUGGAGACAAAUAUCAGUGUAUCUAAUAAACAGGAAUUGUCAUGGUACAGGAAUAGCAUUGACACACCCAG
This is a non-coding RNA of Meleagris gallopavo (turkey), 1803 nucleotides long. The record is from RefSeq and is a predicted model, not a curated record. Lineage: Eukaryota; Metazoa; Chordata; Aves; Galliformes; Phasianidae.